This 256-nucleotide ribosomal RNA is filed under the name uncultured bacterium. RNAcentral describes it as "partial 16S ribosomal RNA". It matches the Rfam family "Bacterial small subunit ribosomal RNA", at positions 524 to 776 of the family's 1533-position model. The record is from RNAcentral.
GACGAACCGUGCGAACGUUGUUCGGAAUCACUGGGCUUAAAGGGCGCGUAGGCGGGUUCUCAAGUCCGGGGUGAAAGCCCCCAGCUCAACUGGGGAAGUGCCUUGGAUACUGGGGGCCUCGAGGGAGGUAGGGGCGUGCGGAACUUCCGGUGGAGCGGUGAAAUGCGUAGAUAUAGGGAAGAACACCAAUAACGGCGAAGGCAGUUAACUAUUCUGCUACUGACAUUGAGGCACGAAAGCGUGGGGAGCAAAACGG